This 253-nucleotide ribosomal RNA is filed under the name uncultured bacterium. RNAcentral's name for it is "partial 16S ribosomal RNA". It matches the Rfam family "Bacterial small subunit ribosomal RNA", at positions 524 to 776 of the family's 1533-position model. The record is from RNAcentral.
UACGUAGGGCGCAAGCGUUAUCCGGAAUUAUUGGGCGUAAAGAGCGCGUAGGCGGCCCUGUAAGUCCGCUGUGAAAGUCAAGGGCUCAACCCUUGGAUGCCGGUGGAUACUGCAGGGCUAGAGUUCGGGAGAGGCGAGUGGAAUUCCUGGUGUAGCGGUGAAAUGCGCAGAUAUCAGGAGGAACACCGAUGGCGAAGGCAGCUCGCUGGGACGAUACUGACGCUGAGGCGCGAAAGCGUGGGGAGCAAACAGG